AGAAUCAACGCUGGCGGCGUGCCUAACACAUGCAAGUCGAACGUCUCUUCUUUCGGGAAGAGGAGUGGCGGACGGGUGAGGAACACGUGGGAACCUGCCCUUCAGUGAGGAAUACCGGCGAGAAAUCGCCGACAAGACCGCAUAGCCCUCUCUGGUGAGAGCCAGAGAAGGAAAGCUUCGCAAGAGGCGCUGGAGGAGGGGCCUGCGUCCGAUUAGCUAGUUGGUGGGGUAAGAGCCUACCAAGGCGUCGAUCGGUAGCUGGUCUGAGAGGACGAUCAGCCACACUGGGAUUGAGAACGGCCCAGACUCCUACGGGGGGCAGCAGUGAGGAAUUUUCGGCAAUGGGGGAAACCCUGACCGAGCAACGCCGCGUGCAGGAAGACGGCCUUCGGGUUGUAAACUGCUUUUCUUUGGGUACGAGCAAGGACGGUACCAGAGGAUCAGCCCGGCUCACUACGUGCCAGCAGCCGC
This 471-nucleotide ribosomal RNA is filed under the name uncultured bacterium. RNAcentral describes it as "SSU rRNA". It matches the Rfam family "Bacterial small subunit ribosomal RNA", at positions 26 to 518 of the family's 1533-position model. The record is from RNAcentral.